GUCUUCCUAAGACAAUAAAGACACCAAACAUC
RNAcentral lists this small RNA (32 nucleotides) under Arabidopsis thaliana (thale cress). RNAcentral's name for it is "ATSL047010". Lineage: Eukaryota; Viridiplantae; Streptophyta; Magnoliopsida; Brassicales; Brassicaceae. The record is from RNAcentral.